GCCUAACCGCCUGACAGUGGGGGGAGAAAAAGAGGAAGGGACGGAGAAAAAGGAGAGGAAGAGUAGGGAAGGAGGACGUGUGGAAGGGAUAAUUGACAUCGGAGGGUUUGGAGGAAAGCAACAAAAUGGAGGCAGAACACGACGGAGGAGAAGAGGACAAAACAACAAGCAUUUAAAUGAAUCAUGCGACCUGUAGUUGACUACUCAUUUUUUGACCGGAUCAUAAAACGUUUUUUAUUCUGCAUUUAAAAGGCUGUGCAUGGAAAACCGCAGUCACUAAAUCAAAUCCAUCCGGAGGAAAGAGGAGAGCGAGUGAGUGAGAGAGAGGGGGUGUUUCUCAGCCUGUUGGAGAGAGGAAUGUGUUGGAGAGUGGACAAAUCAAGCAAGAGCGACUGCACAAUGAGGACUGGCGCCACUCUGCAGAACAGACCUCUGAUUCUCAAAAAUCCUGUGAUCAUUACUGAAUUAGUCAAACGAUGGCUGCAAAAACACAAAAACAGGCGCCUGUGGCCACUCCAAAGCACCCUCGGAAGAAAAGAUAUUGUGGAACUGCUGAGAGGAAUGCUCCAAACUGCUUUGGGGUUUCAGUACAUUAAAAUACGAAAAUGUGAUUCAAAUGGGUGUUGAGUUUUGUCUUCUGCGUGCAGUCAUAAGGAGCAUGAUAAUCCUCCCAGUGUUCUUUAUGAAUGAGGUGCUGUGAACCUGAAGCAAAUCAAUCUUUCAGCAAUAUAUUACAAGCACCAACUUUUGGAAUACUUUUUUUCCUCCUAAAGUACAAUUUGUGAAAGGCUUGUCUUUGUCUUCUAAGAAACAAUGAUGAAGAAAGAAGAAAUAAACUGC
Long non-coding RNA from Dunckerocampus dactyliophorus (ringed pipefish), 840 nucleotides. RefSeq lists it as uncharacterized. The record is from RefSeq and is a predicted model, not a curated record. Lineage: Eukaryota; Metazoa; Chordata; Actinopteri; Syngnathiformes; Syngnathidae. The transcript is spliced from 3 exons.